Molecule: long non-coding RNA, 269 nt
Filed under: Gossypium barbadense (sea-island cotton)
Lineage: Eukaryota; Viridiplantae; Streptophyta; Magnoliopsida; Malvales; Malvaceae
Description: long non-coding RNA (GBAR_LNC014135)
Source: RNAcentral
AUCGAAUCAAAAAUUUUUGAGUUAAUCGAGUUUUCGAAUCUCAUUUUAUCAUCCUAACUUUAUUUGAAGUUUUAUCGAAUCGAAUCGAGUGAGAUAGAAAUCGAAUCGAAUCGAAUCGAAUCGAAUCGAAUUAUUUGUUCGAGUUAAGUUUAAAAAUAAAAUAAAAUUAUUGUUGUUUAUUUUUAUGUAAUUUUUCAAAAAAUAAUUUUCUUUAAAGUUUUUAAACAUAAUCAUACAACAAAAAAUUGAAGUAAAUAAGUGAAUAAAUA